AUUGAACGCUGGCGGCAGGCCUAACACACGCAAGUCGAGCGGAUGAAGGGAGCUUGCUCCUGGAUUCAGCGGCGGACGGGUGAGUAAUGCCUAGGAAUCUGCCUGGUAGUGGGGGAUAACGUCCGGAAACGGGCGCUAAUACCGCAUACGUCCUGAGGGAGAAAGUGGGGGAUCUUCGGACCUCACGCUAUCAGAUGAGCCUAGGCCGGAUUAGCUAGUUGGUGGGGUAAAGGCCUACCAAGGCGACGAUCCGUAACUGGUCUGAGAGGAUGAUCAGUCACACUGGAACUGAGACACGGUCCAGACUCCUACGGGAGGCAGCAGUGGGGAAUAUUGGACAAUGGGCGAAAGCCUGAUCCAGCCAUGCCGCGUGUGUGAAGAAGGUCUUCGGAUUGUAAAGCACUUUAAGUUGGGAGGAAGGGCAGUAAGUUAAUACCUUGCUGUUUUGACGUUACCAACAGAAUAAGCACCGGCUAACUUCGUG
This 484-nucleotide ribosomal RNA is filed under the name uncultured bacterium. RNAcentral describes it as "partial 16S ribosomal RNA". It matches the Rfam family "Bacterial small subunit ribosomal RNA", at positions 30 to 507 of the family's 1533-position model. The record is from RNAcentral.